UACGUAGGGGGCAAGCGUUGUCCGGAUUUAUUGGGCGUAAAGAGCGUGUAGGCGGCCAUACAGGUCCGUUGUGAAAACUGGAGGCUUAACCUCCAGACGUCGAUGGAAACCGUAUGGCUAGAGUCCGGAAGAGGAGAGUGGAAUUCCUGGUGUAGCGGUGAAAUGCGCAGAUAUCAGGAAGAACACCCGUGGCGAAGGCGGCUCUCUGGGACGGUACUGACGCUGAGACGCGAAAGCGUGGGUAGCAAACAGG
RNAcentral lists this ribosomal RNA (253 nucleotides) under uncultured bacterium. RNAcentral's name for it is "partial 16S ribosomal RNA". It matches the Rfam family "Bacterial small subunit ribosomal RNA", at positions 524 to 776 of the family's 1533-position model. The record is from RNAcentral.